CCUACGGGAGGCAGCAGUGGGGAAUCUUGCCCAAUGGGCGCAAGCCUGAGGCAGCAACGCCGCGUGCGGGAAGACGGCCUUCGGGUUGUAAACCGCUUUCAGCAGGGACGAAGGCGAGCGGGUUAAUAGCCCGUGAGUUGACGGUACCUGCAGAAGAAGUCCCGGCUAACUACGUGCCAGCAGCCGCGGUAAUACGUAGGGGACUAGCGUUGUCCGGAAUCAUUGGGCGUAAAGAGCGUGUAGGCGGCCUUUCAAGUCCUGCGUGAAAUCUUGCGGCUCAACCGCAAGGGGUCGUGGGAAACUGAGAGGCUAGAGUGCGGGAGAGGAGAGUGGAAUUCCUGGUGUAGCGGUGAAAUGCGCAGAUAUCAGGAAGAACACCCGUGGCGAAGGCGGCUCUCUGGAACGCAACUGACGCUGAGACGCGAAAGCGUGGGGAGCAA
This 440-nucleotide ribosomal RNA is filed under the name uncultured bacterium. RNAcentral describes it as "bacterial SSU rRNA". It matches the Rfam family "Bacterial small subunit ribosomal RNA", at positions 338 to 771 of the family's 1533-position model. The record is from RNAcentral.